CGGCGCCGGGAGAGACCUCGUAACGGAACUGGGACGCCAGCGCUGCAUUGUGGGAGCUUUUAAAGCGGCGGGGAGCUCGGCGCGACCCUCGGGCCCACCGGGCCACGCUCGCCCGGCCCGCGACGCCCCCCCGCUGUCGCCUGGCCCGCGACGCACCGAGGCCUGAGGACCCGAAAGCCGGGCGCGGGGAGAUGACCGGUGGCUCGUGACGGUCCCACGGGCAAAAUCUUCCAUCGCCCGGGGCUGAGACUUGUCAAACUGCCCUCUACGGUCACCCGGAAAGUAGGAGGCUUUUUCUGCAGAGGGAAAAAAAUCAAAAAGAGCCGUUCCAUCCCCCCUCCAAGGACUGGGUUUGAAUUGCUUUUCAUCUGCAGUGGCUGUGAUUCAGCGUCCCUCUUAGCAGCAGGCACUGACAGAGGCAGGAGAGGAAAAAAGAAAGAAAGAAAGAGAAAACACAGCAAAUGAAUCAAACGGACGUAGCAGGCAAGAGUGUGGUUAUCGUUGGACCAGGAUUCAGGAUCUGACCGAGUAGCUGACUCUUAAUCCAGUUUGUGUUGAUCACCAGGAGGAUCUGGACCUCAGUGUUAUCACAUCUAAAGGUGAUAUGCCAACUCCACCUUUGCCUUCCACCAUGUUUGGAAGCUCCCUGAGGCCUCACCAGGAGCAGAUGCUCGUCCCAUGCUUCCUAUAAGCCUGCAGAACUGUGAGCCAUAAUAAACUGUGAAUUAUAAAUUGCCUUUAUAGCAAUGCAAAUGGACCAGUACAGAUGGGAUGCUGGGAAGACAGUUGUUCCACCUUCAGUAAAGUCCAUGGAACACAGUUGUGACUAUAUUCUAGGCCAGCCAAGAUGCUUGUACUCAGAAAGGAGUGAUCUCAGGACCAUAAGAAAGUGAAAAAAUAAAAAUAAGAAAACAAAGAAGGGAUUGUCAAUGAAUCAGAAUUCAUCAAGGUCAAAGUCUUAGGAAAUUCCUUCAUGAGGAAGUCUAGGGGGGCUAUGGAAAUGAAAAUUUUUAAACAAAUAGGUAUGUGGUGCUGGCAGGAAUAAAUUAUGGACUUAUGAAUAUAACAUAAGAUUCUUUAUUACCUGGUCUCACCCGUCUUUCCACCUCUGCCCCCCUUCUUGCCCGACUCUGUGUAUCACCCAUAAUAAACUACUUACAGCUUCCUAGUGUUAAAUUUACCCUAAAGCUGCCUCCUUCAAUAUUUUAAGUUUAACCUAAAGGUUCUUCAUACAUAGUGAACUAUAACCCAAUGAUUAAACAGAUUGUAACCUACUCUUGUACCAGUCACCAAGUUUCAGCCAAUCAGAGGUGGCCAACUGUUCAAACCAUGCUCAAAUAAGGGAAAUGUCAUGGUGUAACUAAUCCAGCUGUUUCUAUAUCUUACUUCUGUUUUCUUAGGUCACUUUCCUUUUUCUGUCCAUAAAUUCUCUCCAACCACUCAGCAGCACUGGAGUCACUCCAAAGCUAUCCUGGUUCAGGGGUCUGUCUGAUUCACAAGUCAUUCUUUGUUCAAUUGAGCUCUGCUAAAUUUAAUUUGUCUGAAGUUUUUCUUUUAACAGAUGGUGUCAGAAAUGGACCCCAAAGUAGAGCUCCCAGUGAUCCCCCAGGAGCACUGAGUGACCACAAGGGGUACCUGCUGGGCCCGUCCUCUCGCA
Molecule: long non-coding RNA, 1657 nt
Filed under: Pan troglodytes (chimpanzee)
Lineage: Eukaryota; Metazoa; Chordata; Mammalia; Primates; Hominidae
Description: long non-coding RNA NONPTRT003540
Source: RNAcentral